UAUGUACUCCCUCCGUUCGGAAUUACUUGUCGCAGAAAUGAAUGUAUCUAGAUGUAUUUUAGUUCUAGAUACAUCCAUUUCCAAGACAAGUAAUUCCGAACGGAGGGAGUAGUAA
This is a non-coding RNA of Triticum aestivum (bread wheat), 115 nucleotides long. The record is from Rfam. NCBI's taxonomy places the organism in Eukaryota, Viridiplantae, Streptophyta, Magnoliopsida, Poales, Poaceae.